UUUCCACUAAGCAGAUUUCUCA
This 22-nucleotide non-coding RNA is filed under the name Arabidopsis thaliana (thale cress). The record is from RNAcentral. Lineage: Eukaryota; Viridiplantae; Streptophyta; Magnoliopsida; Brassicales; Brassicaceae.